Molecule: ribosomal RNA, 2799 nt
Filed under: Escherichia coli
Lineage: Bacteria; Pseudomonadati; Pseudomonadota; Gammaproteobacteria; Enterobacterales; Enterobacteriaceae
Description: partial 23S ribosomal RNA
Rfam family: Bacterial large subunit ribosomal RNA
Source: RNAcentral
GGGUUGUGAGGUUAAGCGACUAAGCGUACACGGUGGAUGCCCUGGCAGUCAGAGGCGAUGAAGGACGUGCUAAUCUGCGAUAAGCGUCGGUGAGGUGAUAUGAACCGUUAUAACCGGCGAUUUCCGAAUGGGGAAACCCAGUGUGUUUCGACACACUAUCAUUAACUGAAUCCAUAGGUUAAUGAGGCGAACCGGGGGAACUGAAACAUCUAAGUACCCCGAGGAAAAGAAAUCAACCGAGAUUCCCCCAGUAGCGGCGAGCGAACGGGGAGGAGCCCAGAGCCUGAAUCAGUGUGUGUGUUAGUGGAAGCGUCUGGAAAGGCGUGCGAUACAGGGUGACAGCCCCGUACACAAAAAUGCACAUAUUGUGAGCUCGAUGAGUAGGGCGGGACACGUGGUAUCCUGUCUGAAUAUGGGGGGACCAUCCUCCAAGGCUAAAUACUCCUGACUGACCGAUAGUGAACCAGUACCGUGAGGGAAAGGCGAAAAGAACCCCGGCGAGGGGAGUGAAAAAGAACCUGAAACCGUGUACGUACAAGCAGUGGGAGCCUCUUAAUGGGGUGACUGCGUACCUUUUGUAUAAUGGGUCAGCGACUUAUAUUCUGUAGCAAGGUUAACCGAAUAGGGGAGCCGAAGGGAAACCGAGUCUUAACUGGGCGUUAAGUUGCAGGGUAUAGACCCGAAACCCGGUGAUCUAGCCAUGGGCAGGUUGAAGGUUGGGUAACACUAACUGGAGGACCGAACCGACUAAUGUUGAAAAAUUAGCGGAUGACUUGUGGCUGGGGGUGAAAGGCCAAUCAAACCGGGAGAUAGCUGGUUCUCCCCGAAAGCUAUUUAGGUAGCGCCUCGUGAAUUCAUCUCCGGGGGUAGAGCACUGUUUCGGCAAGGGGGUCAUCCCGACUUACCAACCCGAUGCAAACUGCGAAUACCGGAGAAUGUUAUCACGGGAGACACACGGCGGGUGCUAACGUCCGUCGUGAAGAGGGAAACAACCCAGACCGCCAGCUAAGGUCCCAAAGUCAUGGUUAAGUGGGAAACGAUGUGGGAAGGCCCAGACAGCCAGGAUGUUGGCUUAGAAGCAGCCAUCAUUUAAAGAAAGCGUAAUAGCUCACUGGUCGAGUCGGCCUGCGCGGAAGAUGUAACGGGGCUAAACCAUGCACCGAAGCUGCGGCAGCGACACUAUGUGUUGUUGGGUAGGGGAGCGUUCUGUAAGCCUGUGAAGGUGGCCUGUGAGGGUUGCUGGAGGUAUCAGAAGUGCGAAUGCUGACAUAAGUAACGAUAAAGCGGGUGAAAAGCCCGCUCGCCGGAAGACCAAGGGUUCCUGUCCAACGUUAAUCGGGGCAGGGUGAGUCGACCCCUAAGGCGAGGCCGAAAGGCGUAGUCGAUGGGAAACAGGUUAAUAUUCCUGUACUUGGUGUUACUGCGAAGGGGGGACGGAGAAGGCUAUGUUGGCCGGGCGACGGUUGUCCCGGUUUAAGCGUGUAGGCUGGUUUUCCAGGCAAAUCCGGAAAACCAAGGCUGAGGCGUGAUGACGAGGCACUACGGUGCUGAAGCGACAAAUGCCCUGCUUCCAGGAAAAGCCUCUAAGCAUCAGGUAACAUCAAAUCGUACCCCAAACCGACACAGGUGGUCAGGUAGAGAAUACCAAGGCGCUUGAGAGAACUCGGGUGAAGGAACUAGGCAAAAUGGUGCCGUAACUUCGGGAGAAGGCACGCUGAUAUGUAGGUGAAGCGACUUGCUCGUGGAGCUGAAAUCAGUCGAAGAUACCAGCUGGCUGCAACUGUUUAUUAAAAACACAGCACUGUGCAAACACGAAAGUGGACGUAUACGGUGUGACGCCUGCCCGGUGCCGGAAGGUUAAUUGAUGGGGUUAGCGGCAACGCGAAGCUCUUGAUCGAAGCCCCGGUAAACGGCGGCCGUAACUAUAACGGUCCUAAGGUAGCGAAAUUCCUUGUCGGGUAAGUUCCGACCUGCACGAAUGGCGUAAUGAUGGCCAGGCUGUCUCCACCCGAGACUCAGUGAAAUUGAACUCGCUGUGAAGAUGCAGUGUACCCGCGGCAAGACGGAAAGACCCCGUGAACCUUUACUAUAGCUUGACACUGAACAUUGAGCCUUGAUGUGUAGGAUAGGUGGGAGGCUUUGAAGUGUGGACGCCAGUCUGCAUGGAGCCGACCUUGAAAUACCACCCUUUAAUGUUUGAUGUUCUAACGUUGGCCCGUAAUCCGGGUUGCGGACAGUGUCUGGUGGGUAGUUUGACUGGGGCGGUCUCCUCCUAAAGAGUAACGGAGGAGCACGAAGGUUGGCUAAUCCUGGUCGGACAUCAGGAGGUUAGUGCAAUGGCAUAAGCCAGCUUGACUGCGAGCGUGACGGCGCGAGCAGGUGCGAAAGCAGGUCAUAGUGAUCCGGUGGUUCUGAAUGGAAGGGCCAUCGCUCAACGGAUAAAAGGUACUCCGGGGAUAACAGGCUGAUACCGCCCAAGAGUUCAUAUCGACGGCGGUGUUUGGCACCUCGAUGUCGGCUCAUCACAUCCUGGGGCUGAAGUAGGUCCCAAGGGUAUGGCUGUUCGCCAUUUAAAGUGGUACGCGAGCUGGGUUUAGAACGUCGUGAGACAGUUCGGUCCCUAUCUGCCGUGGGCGCUGGAGAACUGAGGGGGGCUGCUCCUAGUACGAGAGGACCGGAGUGGACGCAUCACUGGUGUUCGGGUUGUCAUGCCAAUGGCACUGCCCGGUAGCUAAAUGCGGAAGAGAUAAGUGCUGAAAGCAUCUAAGCACGAAACUUGCCCCGAGAUGAGUUCUCCCU